RNAcentral lists this long non-coding RNA (864 nucleotides) under Bos taurus (domestic cattle). RNAcentral's name for it is "long non-coding RNA NONBTAT019785". Lineage: Eukaryota; Metazoa; Chordata; Mammalia; Artiodactyla; Bovidae. The record is from RNAcentral.
UGAUUGCUUCCCCUCUUUCACCUAGCUGUCAGAGGGGCUUGAAAAUUGUGCCUCGGGCUCUCCAGACUGUGGGAAGACCUGUAGAAAUGCACUGAGAUUGUAGCAUUGGUGUAAAGCAAAAGCGCUCAGAUCCAAACUUGAACUUUCAAAGGAAAGGAACUUGCUGACAUUCUUCUUUGAGCAAACGUGGGCAGCAAAUCUAGGUAUCAAGGCAUUGCUGAUGCAAAGGAUAAAUAUUAGGCUGUCUAGAUUUUACUCAGCUUUGCCAGCGGGUGUGUGUUUUAAGUGAUUCACCACUUCUGUAGUAAAUGGGAGCUUUAUGAAGGUUAGUGAGUGUGAUGCCAAAUAGUUUCUUCAAUCAUUAAAUAUUUUUCAGCACCAACUGUUAGCAGUACUGGGGUUAUGUUCUGGGGAUGCAAAUGUGUAUAACACCCUAUCUCAUCUUCAUGAAAUUUAAGCGAGGAUCAGUGAUCUAUGGAAUGAAGCAUAAGAAGAGGAAUCCCAAAGACCAGGGAGACAGUGGUCCAAGAAUGACUUCCAGUGAACGUGACUCAGAAUUAUCAUGGCUUAGCAAAAUAAAUGCAGAGUCUUAAGACUCAAGAGUCAUUUGCUGUCAUUUUCCUAAUUCCAAGAUUAGUGUUCCAGACUGAAGCUUCUUCCAUCCUGGUUGAGUAUCUAGGCCACACUUCGAAUCUGGGAGCUCCAGGAUUCUACACUUAUGGUUGGGCAUUGCCCAAAACAAUUGAAUGAACCUCUUUAUUUGUACAUCGUAUAAAUAGUUUAGAACAUGGGCUGGAUGUUUCUGCUUUGCUUAAAAUGGCACUAGGUUUCAGCAAAGUGUUUCCCUCAGGUAGCUGAAUGGGG